RNAcentral lists this ribosomal RNA (640 nucleotides) under uncultured bacterium. RNAcentral describes it as "bacterial SSU rRNA". It matches the Rfam family "Bacterial small subunit ribosomal RNA", at positions 1 to 663 of the family's 1533-position model. The record is from RNAcentral.
GGCUUAGAGUUUGAUCAUGGCUCAGGACGAACGCUGGCGGCAUGCCUAACACAUGCAAGUCGAACGGAGACAGCAAUGUCUUAGUGGCGAACGGGUGAGUAACGCGUGAGCAACCUGCCUCGUACAACGGGAUACCUGCGAGAAAUUGCAGUUAAUACGGUAUAAGACCACGCCGUCGCAUGACGGAGGGGUAAAAGGGAGCAAUUCCGGUAUGAGAUGGGCUCGCGUCGCAUUAGCUAGUUGGUGGGGUAACGGCCUACCAAGGCGACGAUGCGUAGCCGACCUGAGAGGGUAAUCGGCCACAUUGGGACUGAGAUACGGCCCAGACACCUACGGGUGGCAGCAGUGAGGAAUAUUCCGCAAUGGGCGAAAGCCUGACGGAGCAAUGCCGCGUGAAUGAAGAAGGUCUUCGGAUUGUAAAGUUCUUUAGUCAGGGACGAAGAAAGUGACGGUACCUGAAGAAUAAGCCCCGGCUAACUACGUGCCAGCAGCCGCGGUAAUACGUAGGGGGCAAGCGUUGUCCGGAAUGACUGGGCGUAAAGGGUGUGUAGGCGGUUUUGCAAGUUAGGAGUGAAAUACCCGGGCUUAACCCGGGUGCUGCUUUUAAGACUGUAAGACUUGAGUGCAGGAGAGGCUAUCG